UAUCAGUCACAGUGAAUGGCCAAGAGGAGACACACUACCGCCACCUAUCGCCAUUUUAAGAACUUCUUUAUAGAAUUAGUACAAUCACAACAGCUCCCAUCAGUGUUUGUGAACCUGGGUACAGUUAUAACUCUCGUGGUGUGACCAAACAAUAUGUGUACAGGAUGUUCAGUGAAUCUUUUCCAAUUAUUUGAGAUUGUCUCUGAUGAAAAGAAAGUUAGAGACUAUUUGUUUGACCACCAUCUUCUGACAAAGACUGUUAACUGUACAAGCUGUGGUUCUGUAAUUGAACUGAAUAGUAAAUAUCAAUUUCGAUGCAACAAAGUAGUGCGGCUAAAACACGGAAAGGCCUAUAGGAAGAGGGUGUGCAAAUUCAGAGUUACUGGACUUAAAGACACAUUUUUUGAAAGAUCUAAAAUAUCACUGAAAGACAUUCUUUAUUUGAUGUACUUAUUUAUAGAUAACAGAACAACUAUUAAAACGGCAAGUUUCGAAACUAAACUCAGUCCAGCAACCAUCAUAGAUUGGUAUAGUUUCAUGCGAGAUAUUAUUAUCAAUUACUGUGAAACAAAAUCAAGCAAACUCGGAGGUCCAGGAACAGUUGUAGAAGUAGAUGAAGCUGAAUUUGGCCAAAGAAAGUGCGACAAGGCAGAGGUUAGAGGAAACUGGGUGUUGGGGGGAAUUGAACGUGGAGGCAAGAAGAUUUUUUUGGUAACUGUUGGUGACAGAAGUGAAGAAACAUUGAUUGAAGUUAUUAAAGACUGGAUUUUAGAAGGAACAACAAUAGUAUCAGAUAGGCAGAGUUCCUUCAGGAACAUUUCUUUAGAAGGCUACUUUCAUCAGACUGGUGACAACCCCCAAAACUCAAAAGACUCAGAGUCUUCCACCAACACCAAUAACAUCAAACGUCUGUGGCGAGACGUCCGCAACGAGAUUCCAAAAUUUGGAGUAAGGGAAGAGCAUUUUGAGAGUUAUCUUGCCAAAGUUUUCUUCCGCAAAAUAUUUCCCGAUCAAGGUGAACGAUUCCAUCACUUUAUGCUAGCAACAGCUGCUCUCUACCCACCAUACAAAUAAGCCACUCUCACAUGAAGAAAACACAAAAAAUAUCUUCAAAGAUGAAACAAUGGGAACCAACAUUCCAAAACAGUUCAUUCCUGCUGCUGAAAAGGGAUUCAAAGCAAUCUGUGAUAAAGGUUCUCCUGAAUGACAUAUUUGGGUAUGCCACAGAACUGCAAUCCUCAACACAGGAAAAAGGCAAAUUUGCAAUGGAAUAUUCUUAUGGGCCAGCAAAAGAAGAAGUAUUGUAAUGGAAGAUCUUAUCAGUGAAUUUAUAUGUCCCAAAGAAAAUGCAAAGCCUUCAAAAAAAAGAGGCAGAAGAUAAAAUAUGAUAAAUAUUUAAAUGUCUUUGCUAAUUUUUAAGUAUGAAAGAGGUAUCAUCAACAUUGAUAUUUUAAGGCCAUUUUUCACACUUGCAUGGGUUAGCAAUGAUUACUUAAUGGGAGCUCUUCGUGCUGUAUUUUCUCAUGUAGCCUCUCUCCUCAGGAUUUCAAAUUUAAUAUAAUUUCUUACAGCAUCUUCCCAUGUCAUUAUUGGGCUGCCUCUGUCCUUAUUCCCCUCCACAUUUAGACUCACACAUCAUUUGGCCCAAUUUGUACCUCCAUUCUCUCCACAAACCCAAACCAUCUCAGCUUACCUCUAAGCAAAUCUUCACCAAUACUUUCAAUACCCAACCAUCUUCUUAGCUCUGACUAGAGUUGCCUAAAGGCUGAGCAGAUUAUGUGGAACCUUUGAAAUUUACUUGCUGGUAUUUUGUUUUUUUCCUUUGUCCUGACAAAUUUGAGAAGAAAUUUGUUUGUCCAGUUUUUUAAGGACAAAGCCAAAUAAACACCUUGAACCCUUCAAAUUUAGGCCCGCUUCAUGCAAGCAUUUUUGUCCCGCAUGGGAGAAGGCAUUUGUUCAUAUGGGCAUAUUUUUCAUGUUUAAUUUCACCUGCAUGUGACAAAAAUAAUCACAGGCACUUUCAGCUUAUCCUUGCCUUUAUUUUUACAGGACUGCAACAAUCUCGGUACAGAGUGCCUGUUUUGCCAUAUUCUUGGACUUUAAUUUUUACAGGUUGAUAUCUCUCCACUCUUUCACAACAUUUUCAAUUGGGUUAAUUUUCCAGUGAAGGUUUGAUUUUUUCUUUAACAAUAAUUUUCUUGUUCAUUUUAUUACAGUAUUUAUACAAUUAUAACUAAAUAAAUAUGUAAACUGCA
Molecule: unclassified non-coding RNA, 2255 nt
Filed under: Homarus americanus (American lobster)
Lineage: Eukaryota; Metazoa; Arthropoda; Malacostraca; Decapoda; Nephropidae
Description: elongation factor G, mitochondrial-like, transcript variant X3
Source: RNAcentral